AUUGAACGCUGGCGGCAGGCUUAACACAUGCAAGUCGAGCGGGGUGAUGGUGCUUGCACUAUCACUUAGCGGCGGACGGGUGAGUAAUGCUUAGGAAUCUGCCUAUUAGUGGGGGACAACAUCUCGAAAGGGAUGCUAAUACCGCAUACGCCCUACGGGGGAAAGUAGGGGAUUAGUUGUGACCUUGCGCUAAUAGAUGAGCCUAAGUCGGAUUAGCUAGUUGGUGGGGUAAAGGCCUACCAAGGCGACGACCUGUAGCGGGUCUGAGAGGACGAUCCGCCACACUGGGACUGAGACACGGCCCAGACUCCUACGGGAGGCAGCAGUGGGGAAUAUUGGACAAUGGGGGGAACCCUGAUCCAGCCAUGCCGCGUGUGUGAAGAAGGCCUUAUGGUUGUAAAGCACUCUAAGCGAGGAGGAGGCUCUUUUGGUUAAUACCCAAGAUGAGUGGACGUUACUCGCAGAAUAAGCACCGGCUAACUCUGUGCCAGCCGCCGCAGUAA
RNAcentral lists this ribosomal RNA (503 nucleotides) under uncultured bacterium. Its description in RNAcentral is "partial 16S ribosomal RNA". It matches the Rfam family "Bacterial small subunit ribosomal RNA", at positions 30 to 523 of the family's 1533-position model. The record is from RNAcentral.